CCCUGCGGGAGAGUUCGGGACCGCCGAUGCGCGGAAACCCGGCGCCGAAGGAGCAACCGCCCCGGAAACUCUCAGGCAUCAAGGACCGCAGGGGG
RNAcentral lists this non-coding RNA (95 nucleotides) under uncultured Parvibaculum sp. RNAcentral's name for it is "Glycine riboswitch". It matches the Rfam family "Glycine riboswitch aptamer". From Rfam's summary of the family: This family represents the bacterial glycine riboswitch. Glycine riboswitches usually consist of two metabolite-binding aptamers domains with similar structures in tandem. Lineage: Bacteria; Pseudomonadati; Pseudomonadota; Alphaproteobacteria; Hyphomicrobiales; Parvibaculaceae. The record is from RNAcentral.